RNAcentral lists this ribosomal RNA (354 nucleotides) under uncultured bacterium. RNAcentral describes it as "partial 16S ribosomal RNA". It matches the Rfam family "Bacterial small subunit ribosomal RNA", at positions 338 to 709 of the family's 1533-position model. The record is from RNAcentral.
CCUACGGGUGGCAGCAGUGGGGAAUAUUGCACAAUGGGGGAAACCCUGAUGCAGCGACGCCGCGUGAGUGAAGAAGUAUCUCGGUACGUAAAGCUCUAUCAGCAGGGAAGAAAAUGACGGUACCUGACUAAGAAGCCCCGGCUAACUACGUGCCAGCAGCCGCGGUAAUACGUAGGGGGCAAGCGUUACCCGGAUUUACUGGGUGUAAAGGGCGCGUAGACGGGAGAGCAAGUCAGGUGUGAAAUGCCGGGGCCUAACCCCAGAACUGCAUUGGAAACUGUGAUGCUGGAGUGCGGGAGAGGUAAGCGGAAUUCCUGGUGUAGCGGUGAAAUGCGUAGAGAUCAGGAGGAACAC